Molecule: non-coding RNA, 45 nt
Organism: Camelus ferus (Wild Bactrian camel)
Lineage: Eukaryota; Metazoa; Chordata; Mammalia; Artiodactyla; Camelidae
Source: Rfam
CCAAAGGCUCUUUUCAGAGCCACUCACAACUGCACUUGGAAGAAG